ACUAAACCAGAGUCAGGAACUGAUUAUCUUGUUGAACAUGGUUUGAAUGGAAAUAAUCCCCAACAAAACAAACAUUUCCCUUUUACCCUUUGAUAACCAGACCUGACUUGGCAGAAAAAUAGGGCUCCCCAGGCCACAUCUGUGAUGAUUUUGAUAAUGAUAAAAAUAAAAUUAUCCAAGUGAGUAGACAAUUCGCUUGGACAACUCUGCACCCACAACCCUCUUAUAUCUAUGUAACUGAGAUUCCAAGUAACUCCUUUCACUGGCGCCAAAAAGCUCGUUGUAGAUCCUUAUAUCUCACACGGGAUCCUUUAAACCAAUUAAAAUAUCACCAACAUCACAAUUUUCCAAUGUCUGACCACUUGUUUCUGGACCUGAUUCAUCAUCAGAACUUUCAGAUUCAGGUUCAAUCAUUUCUUCACUGUCAUCUAUAAGAACAUCAUUUGUGUCUUCAUCACCAUUGUCAUUUUGUUGCACUUCAAUGGCAUUUUCAGCUGUUUGAGGGGGUAAAGACUCUCCAUCUUGUAGAAGUGCAUGAUCUGACAAGACAACGUACGGCUUUCUAUCAAGUAAAGGCCUUGCAAUAUUAAAUGGAACCCACUGGUAACGGAGAGGACAG
Molecule: unclassified non-coding RNA, 619 nt
Filed under: Hevea brasiliensis (rubber tree)
Lineage: Eukaryota; Viridiplantae; Streptophyta; Magnoliopsida; Malpighiales; Euphorbiaceae
Source: RNAcentral